CCUACGGGUUAGAAAGAUCUGUCGUCAGGGACGAUAAUGACGGUACAUGAGGAGGAAGCCAGGGCUAACUACGUGCAAGCAGCAGCGGUAAGACGUAGGUGGCGAGAGUUGGCCGGAUUUACUGGGCGUAAAGGGAGCGUAGGCGGACUUUUAAGGGAGAGGUGAAAUACUCGGGCUCAACUUGAGUGCUGCAUUUCAAACUGUAAGUCUAGAGUGCAGGAGAGGAGAAUGGAAUUCCUAGUGUAGCGGUGACAUGCGUAGAGAUUAGGAAGAACACCAGGGGCGAAGGCGAUUCUCUGGACUGUACCUGCCGCUGCGGCUCGAACGCGUG
This 331-nucleotide ribosomal RNA is filed under the name uncultured bacterium. Its description in RNAcentral is "partial 16S ribosomal RNA". It matches the Rfam family "Bacterial small subunit ribosomal RNA", at positions 415 to 763 of the family's 1533-position model. The record is from RNAcentral.